This 722-nucleotide ribosomal RNA is filed under the name uncultured Colwellia sp. RNAcentral describes it as "bacterial SSU rRNA". It matches the Rfam family "Bacterial small subunit ribosomal RNA", at positions 56 to 771 of the family's 1533-position model. The record is from RNAcentral. Lineage: Bacteria; Pseudomonadati; Pseudomonadota; Gammaproteobacteria; Alteromonadales; Colwelliaceae.
UGCAGUCGAGCGGUACAUUUCUAGCUUGCUAGAAGAUGACGAGCGGCGGACGGGUGAGUAAUGCUUGGGAAUAUGCCUUAUGGUGGGGGACAACAGUUGGAAACGACUGCUAAUACCGCAUAACGUCUACGGACCAAAGGGGGGGAUCUUCGGACCUCCCGCCAUUUGAUUAGCCCAAGUGAGAUUAGCUAGUUGGUAAGGUAAUGGCUUACCAAGGCGACGAUCUCUAGCUGGUUUGAGAGGAUGAUCAGCCACACUGGGACUGAGACACGGCCCAGACUCCUACGGGAGGCAGCAGUGGGGAAUAUUGCACAAUGGGCGAAAGCCUGAUGCAGCCAUGCCGCGUGUGUGAAGAAGGCCUUCGGGUUGUAAAGCACUUUCAGUAAGGAGGAAAGGGUAGUCGUUAAUAGCGGCUAUCUGUGACGUUACUUACAGAAGAAGCACCGGCUAACUUCGUGCCAGCAGCCGCGGUAAUACGAGGGGUGCAAGCGUUAAUCGGAAUUACUGGGCGUAAAGCGUUCGUAGGCGGUUGAAUAAGCAAGAUGUGAAAGCCCAGGGCUCAACCUUGGAACUGCAUUUUGAACUGUUCGACUAGAGUACUGUAGAGGGUGGUGGAAUUUCCAGUGUAGCGGUGAAAUGCGUAGAGAUUGGAAGGAACAUCAGUGGCGAACGCGGCCACCUGGACAGAUACUGACGCUGAGGAACGAAAGCGUGGGGAGCGA